GUGCCUGGAUUCAGCGGCGGACGGGUGAGUAAUGCCUAGGAAUCUGCCUGGUAGUGGGGGAUAACGUCCGGAAACGGGCGCUAAUACCGCAUACGUCCUGAGGGAGAAAGUGGGGGAUCUUCGGACCUCACGCUAUCAGAUGAGCCUAGGUCGGAUUAGCUAGUUGGUGGGGUAAAGGCCUACCAAGGCGACGAUCCGUAACUGGUCUGAGAGGAUGAUCAGUCACACUGGAACUGAGACACGGUCCAGACUCCUACGGGAGGCAGCAGUGGGGAAUAUUGGACAAUGGGCGAAAGCCUGAUCCAGCCAUGCCGCGUGUGUGAAGAAGGUCUUCGGAUUGUAAAGCACUUUAAGUUGGGAGGAAGGGCAGUAAGUUAAUACCUUGCUGUUUUGACGUUACCAACAGAAUAAGCACCGGCUAACUUCGUGCCAGCAGCCGCGGUAAUACGAAGGGUGCAAGCGUUAAUCGGAAUUACUGGGCGUAAAGCGCGCGUAGGUGGUUCAGCAAGUUGGAUGUGAAAUCCCCGGGCUCAACCUGGGAACUGCAUCCAAAACUACUGAGCUAGAGUACGGUAGAGGGUGGUGGAAUUUCCUGUGUAGCGGUGAAAUGCGUAGAUAUAGGAAGGAACACCAGUGGCGAAGGCGACCACCUGGACUGAUACUGACACUGAGGUGCGAAAGCGUGGGGAGCAAACAGGAUUAGAUACCCUGGUAGUCCACGCCGUAAACGAUGUCGACUAGCCGUUGGGAUCCUUGAGAUCUUAGUGGCGCAGCUAACGCGAUAAGUCGACCGCCUGGGGAGUACGGCCGCAAGGUUAAAACUCAAAUGAAUUGACGGGGGCCCGCACAAGCGGUGGAGCAUGUG
This 865-nucleotide ribosomal RNA is filed under the name Pseudomonas aeruginosa. Its description in RNAcentral is "bacterial SSU rRNA". It matches the Rfam family "Bacterial small subunit ribosomal RNA", at positions 82 to 943 of the family's 1533-position model. The record is from RNAcentral. Lineage: Bacteria; Pseudomonadati; Pseudomonadota; Gammaproteobacteria; Pseudomonadales; Pseudomonadaceae.